AUGCAUCUCACUCUUGAAUUCGGGGGCGGUCUGGAGCUUCUCCUAGAGAAAUCCACCAAGGUACACAAGGUGGAUGUCCAGCCCAGGGACGGUGAAGACAAGGCCACGAUGAAGGGGUUGCUCUCUUGGGUGAAGUCCAAUUUGAUCAAGGAGCGGCCGGAGAUGUUCAUGAAGGAUAAUUCUGUGUAUGGUUUCUCUUUUUUCCUUUUUCAUUUGCUUGUGUUUUGGCGGAAGUGUCUGGAGACCUUGUUGCCGUCCAGGAUUUGUGCUAUCAGCUUCUCUAGUUCAUCACUUCAGCCUGGUGCCUAUGUGAUAACUAGUGUAAGUCAACAACAAGCACAAAGCCUUUUGCCCCAAGCAAGUUGGGGUAGGCUAGAGAUGAAUUCCAACAGAAAACUGUGA
This 402-nucleotide ribosomal RNA is filed under the name Triticum aestivum (bread wheat). RNAcentral describes it as "partial small subunit ribosomal RNA". Lineage: Eukaryota; Viridiplantae; Streptophyta; Magnoliopsida; Poales; Poaceae. The record is from RNAcentral.